UCUUGGGCAAAUGCUGCAUAUAUUGUAAUGUAGAGGAAAGUCCAUGCUCACACAAGCUGUGAUGUUUGUAGUGUUCGUGCCUAGGGAAAAAAUAACCUAGGGUAGCUUAGGCUAACGGCGUUGAGGAAACCUGUCAAAUGGUUUUAGUAAACAUAAAGUGCCAUAGAGACGAGUUAGUUUGGAAACAAGCUAAGUGGAACGCGGUAAACCCCACGAGUGAGAAACCCAAAUUAUGGUAGGGGAGUUCUAUUUCGGGAAUCAAACUGAAAUAGGGCCUGCUUGCAGGAGAUAAAUAUUUGCCACUUUCGUAAGAAAGUACAGAACAUGGCUUAUAA
RNAcentral lists this RNase P RNA (335 nucleotides) under chicken gut metagenome. Its description in RNAcentral is "Bacterial RNase P class B". It matches the Rfam family "Bacterial RNase P class B". Rfam says of the family: Ribonuclease P (RNase P) is a ubiquitous endoribonuclease, found in archaea, bacteria and eukarya as well as chloroplasts and mitochondria. Its best characterised activity is the generation of mature 5'-ends of tRNAs by cleaving the 5'-leader elements of precursor-tRNAs. The record is from RNAcentral.